GCCGGGGUGGCGGAAUGGCAGACGCGGCGGACUUAAAAUCCGCUGUCCUUAUAGGGCGUGCGGGUUCAAAUCCCGCCCUCGGCACCA
Molecule: transfer RNA, 87 nt
Filed under: Dehalococcoidia bacterium
Lineage: Bacteria; Bacillati; Chloroflexota; Dehalococcoidia
Description: tRNA-Leu
Rfam family: tRNA
About the family: Transfer RNA (tRNA) molecules are approximately 80 nucleotides in length. Their secondary structure includes four short double-helical elements and three loops (D, anti-codon, and T loops).
Source: RNAcentral